AUUGAACGCUGGCGGCAGGCCUAACACAUGCAAGUCGAGCGGAUGAAGGGAGCUUGCUCCUGGAUUCAGCGGCGGACGGGUGAGUAAUGCCUAGGAAUCUGCCUGGUAGUGGGGGAUAACGUCCGGAAACGGGCGCUAAUACCGCAUACGUCCUGAGGGAGAAAGUGGGGGAUCUUCGGACCUCACGCUAUCAGAUGAGCCUAGGUCGGAUUAGCUAGUUGGUGGGGUAAAGGCCUACCAAGGCGACGAUCCGUAACUGGUCUGAGAGGACGAUCAGUCACACUGGAACUGAGACACGGUCCAGACUCCUACGGGAGGCAGCAGUGGGGAAUAUUGGACAAUGGGCGAAAGCCUGAUCCAGCCAUGCCGCGUGUGUGAAGAAGGUCUUCGGAUUGUAAAGCACUUUAAGUUGGGAGGAAGGGCAGUAAGUUAAUACCUUGCCGUUUUGACGUUACCAACAGAAUAAGCACCGGCUAACUUCGUG
Molecule: ribosomal RNA, 484 nt
Filed under: uncultured bacterium
Lineage: Bacteria
Description: partial 16S ribosomal RNA
Rfam family: Bacterial small subunit ribosomal RNA
Source: RNAcentral